CAGUAGCCACGGUAAUACGGAGGAUCCAAGCGUUAUCCGGAAUUAUUGGGUUUAAAGGGUCCGUAGGCGGUCUUGUAAGUCAGUGGUGAAAGCCCAUCGCUCAACGGUGGAACGGCCAUUGAUACUGCAGGACUUGAAUUAUUGGGAAGUAACUAGAAUAUGUAGUGUAGCGGUGAAAUGCUUAGAGAUUACAUGGAAUACCAAUUGCGAAGGCAGGUUACUACCAAUUGAUUGACGCUGAUGGACGAAAGCGUGGGUAGCGAACAGGAUUAGAUACCCCAGUAGUCCCUGUCUCUUAUAC
This 301-nucleotide ribosomal RNA is filed under the name uncultured bacterium. RNAcentral describes it as "partial 16S ribosomal RNA". It matches the Rfam family "Bacterial small subunit ribosomal RNA", at positions 509 to 807 of the family's 1533-position model. The record is from RNAcentral.